GCGGACGUGGUGGAAUUGGUAGACACACUGGAUUUAGGUUCCAGCGCCGCAAGGUGUAAGAGUUCGAGUCUCUUCGUCCGCACCAA
This 86-nucleotide transfer RNA is filed under the name Pseudomonas protegens CHA0. RNAcentral's name for it is "tRNA-Leu". It matches the Rfam family "tRNA". From Rfam's summary of the family: Transfer RNA (tRNA) molecules are approximately 80 nucleotides in length. Their secondary structure includes four short double-helical elements and three loops (D, anti-codon, and T loops). The record is from RNAcentral. Lineage: Bacteria; Pseudomonadati; Pseudomonadota; Gammaproteobacteria; Pseudomonadales; Pseudomonadaceae.